AACGCUGGCGGCGUGCCUAAUACAUGCAAGUCGAACGCGUCUUGGUUAUUGAUGUUAGAUGCUUGCAUUUAACUGAUUUAACAUUGAGACGAGUGGCGAACUGGUGAGUAACACGUGGGUAACCUGCCCUUGAAGUAGGGGAUAACACUUGGAAACAGGUGCUAAUACCGUAUAACAACCAAAACCACCUGGUUUUGGUUUAAAAGAUGGCUUCGGCUAUCACUUUAGGAUGGACCCGCGGCGUAUUAGCUUGUUGGUAAGGUAACGGCCUACCAAGGCAAUGAUACGUAGCCGACCUGAGAGGGUAAUCGGCCACAUUGGGACUGAGACACGGCCCAAACUCCUACGGGAGGCAGCAGUAGGGAAUCUUCCACAAUGGACGAAAGUCUGAUGGAGCAACGCCGCGUGAGUGAUGAAGGGUUUCGGCUCGUAAAACUCUGUUGUUGGAGAAGAACAGGUGUGAGAGUAACUGUUCACAUCUUGACGGUAUCCAACCAGAAAGCCACGGCUAACUA
This 515-nucleotide ribosomal RNA is filed under the name Lentilactobacillus parabuchneri. RNAcentral describes it as "bacterial SSU rRNA". It matches the Rfam family "Bacterial small subunit ribosomal RNA", at positions 32 to 503 of the family's 1533-position model. The record is from RNAcentral. Lineage: Bacteria; Bacillati; Bacillota; Bacilli; Lactobacillales; Lactobacillaceae.